Molecule: long non-coding RNA, 202 nt
Organism: Dama dama (fallow deer)
Lineage: Eukaryota; Metazoa; Chordata; Mammalia; Artiodactyla; Cervidae
Exons: 3
Source: RefSeq, a predicted model, not a curated record
CAUUAUUACAGAGCACCUGACUGCAAGAAGAUAAAUUCCAGUUCUAGACUAAAAGGAGAUUAUCAACUGCAUGACUGCAACCUGGAGGGCUAAAAAUCCUCCAGUCUCCUGAAAUUUGGAGCUCCAGCUCUUGGAAGACAGAGAAUGAGAUCAGCUCCCAUCACCUUUCUGCACUCAGCCUCGGGCCAUCGUUGUCCUCCAG